UUGUUUUUUGCUUUUAUUCCAAUUUUCAAUUAGAAGAACAUGUACGUAUUUGAUUCUUUUUUAUGUUAAUUUUGGCUCAUGUAUAUUAAAUCGUAUGGCCUCAUUUUAAUUCAUAUCAUUGACAAUUGUUAUGGGUUGUCACUGAUAUUAGUCAUGGAAUAACAUAAGUCAAUAUAUCCAAACCCUGCCCUACAAAAAUUAGGAGUGGAGGUUUGAACCGCCCGUAUCACGGUUAUGGGAUGUGGUCUAUUUUUUUCAUCUCCCCUACAAAAAUUAGGUGUGGAGGUUUGAACCGCCCGUAUCACGGUUAUGGGAUGUGGUCUUCUUUUCUCAUAUUUCGAAUUUGAUUGUCCGCAACCUCCUCGGUCUUCAGAGUAGACAUCGUUGUCGAAAGGGUCGAUGUUUGAAAAGAUGAGUUUGGAGCUGAUGGUGUCGCUGUCGUCGCUGUCCAAGCUCCCGGGAUGACAGCAGCCAUCGACGGUUUAGGGUUGGUGGGGCCCGAAUCCGGCGUCGACUGCUUCCCGACGAACAGGCUGUGAUGAUGAACGUGACAUGAUGAAAAUGACGGCGAAAGAUUUCUACGUUGAGGAAGAAAUAAAACCCUGACAGAAGGGACGAGGAACAAAACCUUAAUGGGAGAGUGAGGAACGAGCAUUCACGCCUUCCUUUUACCUUAUCUUAUUUAGUCACUGAUUAAUGUAACAACUAUAAUCACGUUUGUUUUACCUUUCGGUACAAGUGAAUUAGUUGUAUUUGGCCACAGAUGAUGUUGAUGAAGGGGGAAUUGCAGCAAGCUGACGGAUGUUCAUCGGUGAAAUGUCAUUAAG
RNAcentral lists this long non-coding RNA (827 nucleotides) under Linum usitatissimum (flax). RNAcentral describes it as "long non-coding RNA (LUSI_LNC007732)". The record is from RNAcentral. Lineage: Eukaryota; Viridiplantae; Streptophyta; Magnoliopsida; Malpighiales; Linaceae.